This is a long non-coding RNA of Vespa mandarinia (Asian giant hornet), 2164 nucleotides long. The record is from RefSeq and is a predicted model, not a curated record. NCBI's taxonomy places the organism in Eukaryota, Metazoa, Arthropoda, Insecta, Hymenoptera, Vespidae.
UAUUUAUGUAUAUAUAUAUAUAUAUAUAUAUAUAUAUGUAUAUAUAUAGAGAGAGAGAGAGAGAGAGAGAAAAUGUAUAAAACAAUAGUAUCUUCCAAAGCUAAAAAUGCACCAAGGGAAGGUUAAGGAGGGUUCGCGUAUGCCUUUGUAAAAUUGUCAUUUUGUGAUGUUCUUAUUAAUACAAUGAGAAAGAGAGAGAGAGAGAGGGGGGAGAGAGAGAGAGAUCAUGAAUGAAAAUGUUUGUUGUUGACUCUUUAACGUUUAUUAAUUACGAUUAAUCGUUUUUAAGAGUCUACGUGGUUAAGUAACAAAGAUUGCCAGUUGUAUUAAAUAUAAUGUAGAGUCUCUCUCCUUCCUAGAGUUAUAAUAAAAGAAAAAAGGAAAAAAAAAAAGAAAAAGAAAAAGAAAUAAACAAACAAACAAACAAAAAAUGUAAAAGAAAUAACUGCGAAUAAUGUUGAAACGGUCUCGAUUCUAUUUCUUUUCAAGAUAUAUCCUGAUGAGACUUGCUCUCAUAAAGUUGUAUUUGAUAAAUAAUUUGUAAAACUAUUAAUGGAAUAUGCAGGUAUAUUAUGAAUGAAUAGUGCCUGGCACCACUUGUGGCCCUCCUGUUAGGGUGCUUUCCCAAAAUGUUCUGUGCAAUAUUAAAUUGUUGCUAUGUGUUAAGGGAGAUUAUGAGAUAUAAAAAAUUAUGUAAACGGUCUGAUAUCUGUAAAGAGAAUGAUCAGCGCGAAUUUUAUAUCCACCGAUUUAAAAGUUGGUGAAUAAAGCAGGGUUUCAUGGGAAAGCAACCUGUUAUUAAUUGUGUAAAAUAAAAGAAAGAUAAGAGAUUAUAUAAAAAAAAAAAAAAAUAAAUAUAUAAUAUAAUCUCGAAUAUAUAUAUAUAUAUAUAUAUAUAUAUAUAUAUAUAUAUGUGUAUAUAUAUAUAUGAUCAGUUUCUUUACACUGCAUAUUAGAUAUGUUUCAGAUGACUGUACGAACAAUCGGUAUAUAAAAUAUAAUGAAAAAUCUAUAUAUACGUAUAGUCUCUCCUAACGUAAUCACACAAAUUUUUAAAAUGAUCACAAAGUGCAAUCUCUUAGCCAACACACUUUUUUAUCAAACGAAAGAAAAGAAAAAAAGUAUAAAGAACUUGUUAUUUUUCAUAACGAAGAAGUAAAAUUUAAUGUAUUGAAAAAAAAAAAAUAUAUAUAUAUAUAUGUCUUCACUAGUUAUUAAACUUUUCCUAUUGACACACACGAAAAAUUUAUUAUAUUUAAUUGAUAUUUUAUUAGUAUAUCACACAUGAAAAUAUGUAUAAAUGCCUGGCAUUAUAAAUCCUUGCAAUGUAAAAAGAAUAUGAAAGAGCAAGAUAAGUGUCUGGUUUGGGAUGUCUUGUAAACAGCUUCUUUUUCUCUUUACAUAUAUAUAUAAAUAAUAUAUAUAUAUAUAUAUAUAUAUAUAUAUAUAUAUAUAUAUGUAUAUAUAUAUAUAUUAUUUUUUUUCCUACUCUUUAUUUAUUAUUCGUGGUGUGACACGAAAGUAUUCGGAAAUCAAUACAUAUUGAUUACUCUUUUUUACAGAAAAGAAAAAAGAAAAAAACAUUUUUAUACUUUUUAUUUAUACGAUAAAGUAAAGAAAAAAAAAAAAAAAAAGGAUUAAAAAAGAAGUCAUUCAUAAAAAUUCUAUAAUCGCAAAUUCAAAAUGCAAUUCAGUCAGUGAAUUUAUCAUCAUUGUAUUUAUUUCGCGUGCAACUCCAAUAACAAUUUAAAUUAAUUAAUUAAUUAAUAUAAUUAUUAUUGUUGAUAUUUCGAAUUGAGCCAAAAAAAAAAGAAAAAAGAGAAAAAAAAAGAGAGGAAGCAGAAAAAGGAAAAAAAAAAAAGAAAACGAAGAAAAAAAGAAGCCGUGAGCAGAAUAUUACGAGGCGAAAAAUUACGAGCGUUAAAAAUUUUGCUCGUUAAAUUCGAAAUUAAAAGAGAAUUACUUAUAUACAUCGUUCGAUAACUCUCUCGUUAUCAUUUUAAUAUUUAAUAUCAUCCAUAAUGAGCUCAAUGGAAAGUAAUUUAAUAGUUUUUACACCAACACUUAUAUAAACGAUCACAAUGUGAUGUGAAAAGCAUGCUCAGUACUUUAUAUAUAUGCAAGAUUUAUUAAUGUAUUAUCGGAUCUAUUUUAUCAUAAAAAA